This 468-nucleotide ribosomal RNA is filed under the name uncultured bacterium. Its description in RNAcentral is "partial 16S ribosomal RNA". It matches the Rfam family "Bacterial small subunit ribosomal RNA", at positions 28 to 507 of the family's 1533-position model. The record is from RNAcentral.
GACGAACGCUGGCGGCGUGCUUAACACAUGCAAGUCGAACGGAAAGGCCCUGCUUUUGUGGGGUGCUCGAGUGGCGAACGGGUGAGUAACACGUGAGUAACCUGCCCUUGACUUUGGGAUAACUUCAGGAAACUGGGGCUAAUACCGGAUAGGAGCUCCUGCUGCAUGGUGGGGGUUGGAAAGUUUCGGCGGUUGGGGAUGGACUCGCGGCUUAUCAGCUUGUUGGUGGGGUAGUGGCUUACCAAGGCUUUGACGGGUAGCCGGCCUGAGAGGGUGACCGGCAACAUUGGGAAUGAGAGACGGCCCAGACUCCUACGGGAGGCAGAAGGGGGGAAUAUUGCACAAUGGGCGGAAGCCGGAUGCAGCAACGCCGCGUGCGGGAUGACGGCCUUCGGGUUGUAAACCGCUUUCGCCUGUGACGAAGCGUGAGUGACGGUAAUGGGUAAAGAAGCACCGGCUAACUACGUG